GUAGUCCACGCCGUAAACGAUGGAUACUAGCUGUUCGGGGCAACCUGAGUGGCUAAGCGAAAGUGAUAAGUAUCCCACCUGGGGAGUACGUUCGCAAGAAUGAAACUCAAAGGAAUUGACGGGGGCCCGCACAAGCGGUGGAGCAUGUGGUUUAAUUCGAUGAUACGCGAGGAACCUUACCAAGGCUUAAAUGUAGUCUGACAGGACCGGAAACGGUUUUUUCUUCGGACAGAUUACAAGGUGCUGCAUGGUUGUCGUCAGCUCGUGCCGUGAGGUGUCAGGUUAAGUCCUAUAACGAGCGCAACCCCUGUCGUUAGUUGCCAGCGAGUCAUGUCGGGAACUCUAACGAGACUGCCAGUGCAAACUGAGA
This 370-nucleotide ribosomal RNA is filed under the name uncultured bacterium. Its description in RNAcentral is "bacterial SSU rRNA". It matches the Rfam family "Bacterial small subunit ribosomal RNA", at positions 790 to 1167 of the family's 1533-position model. The record is from RNAcentral.